AGGAAUGACCAAAUUCAUGUUGCCCUAAAAUAGUUACAAAACCUGACUUACCAGAAGUUUUUAGGCUCUUGCUAUUGAGGCUGAUUUGGAGAAUAUUCUUGGAACUUGUCUGUACGUGUAAAACUGUGACUUGCUGUUGAGUCACUUUACAAAAAACAUGAGUUUCAGAGCUGAUUAGGAAACACAGGAAGGCAGUCACGUCGGCAGUAGGAGCUGGAGCUAAUGACAUCAGCAUGAUCAAAACUAAGGGGAAAUUUAGUUUGAAAUGUAAAUAAAAAUGAUGGCUUAUUAAUGAAUUUGUGUUUAUAGCAGACCCAUUACUUAGACCUUUUUUAUUUGAAGAAUUGCUUUUCCUUCUAUGGAAAAAAUAACUCAGAUCAACCCUUAUGCCAUUAUUUGGUAAUUGAAAGUAACUAUGAUAAAUAAGUUGGCUUGUGUGGGGUGAACUACAACUGAGUAAGCCCAAAUAUCUGUCUAAUCCAGGGUCCUAUCUUUAGCAGUGACCAAGUACAGACGUUCAGGAAAAAAACAAAAGAACAGGGCAACCAUUCAAAGCUGCUUUUGCAGCUUCCUUCACUCCUUGUCUCAGCAAGAUGUGUGUUCUUUGUGUUUACUCAUUCUUGAUGGUUUUUGUCUUGUAACUUUGGUCACCUUUCAAAUAUGUAGGAAAUUGUAGUUCUACAAUACCCUCCAAAUGGUUAUUAUUUUUGUAAAAUGUGAGGCUACUGUUACAAACAUUCAUAUCAAACAUAAGUAAUGGAAUAUGACUGAUGAACAAAUUGGCUGUAUUUCUCAGAAAGGGUACCCUAUAGCUGUUACUAUUGACUUGUUUGUUGUGUUUUGUGGUUUUUUUUGUGUGUGUUCUUUGUUUGUUUGGGUUUUUUGUUUUUUAUUUUCUUUGUUUUUUGUUUUUGUUUUUUUAAUGACCCAUUGGUUCGGUGUAGAAUACAGUCCAUAUAGCAACUGAGAGUAUGAAUAGAAUUCUUGUUCUCUGCCUGCCAUCAUGGACAUCCUUUUCAUUCAAGGCCUCUAGUCAGUACCACAUUGGAUCCUCUUAGCUGCCAGCCUGAAAGCUCACUUUUUGUCCUGCUUUAAGAAUAUUUGCGUAACAGAUGCUGCAUUUUCUGCUGUUAGCUGAGCUAUUUCUUUCAUUGCCUAAUUUUGGUUGUAGCUGGGUCUUUGGAAUAAAACUAAUCCAAGUCUGUUGCACAAAAAUGUGAAGUUACCCACCCUGAGCUGAUCUACCAAAUGCUGGACCUGAUAUAACUCCUACUGUAUGACUGCUCAGAGGCACCAGGAGCUUCAGAACUCAGUGGAGGAUAUCCAUAUUCGGGUCACAUUUAAUUGCAUGCAGGCAUCUCAGAAUUAACGUUUUGAGAAAGUGCAAAACUAUUGUAUUAAACACCGUGCUUUGAUAGCCUGUAAAACUUCCAAACUGACUGAUGUUCCUAUUUGAGAAUGCAGUGUGGCAGGAUCAGAACAUCAGAUGGUAUUAAGCAAAUGAAAUGCUUAAUACUGACGUUAAUAUAGGUAACUGCUCUGUUUAGUUUACUGUCAGAUACUUGGAAGUUCCUUUUUAUGGUAUGAUAGCUAUGUGAGACUACACAGUAAAUACAUAACUUUCUAAUUAAUUGAUGGGCAGUCUUAAAAUGAUACAAGUUGACCUCAUGAUGAAUAAUGGCCUGGGUCGCUUGCUUAGAUUGUUUCAUCUUGCUGCUAUUAGCCUUGCACUGUAAAUUUGUCAAAACUUGAAAUUCCCACAAUAUACUGUUGAAGCAGGAAAAAUAGCAGAAUAGGAUGACACAAAAUGGGUUGCUCUGUAACGGGUUUAUUUUAAGUUUUGCUGUUGUUAUCUAAACCAGUAAAAGGUUAUAGUUAGUAUAGAGUUAAGUUGCCUUUGUUCAUCUAUUUUGGUGUGAAGAGCUGAGAAAUGGUCUUCCAGAAGCAGCAAUGAAUAGGGGAAGAAUUAAAGGGGACAUGAAAGGAGAAAGAAGAGAAACUGUGAAUUAAUCAUAACAAAAUUAAUUUGCACAGGUUUCUGCUUUUGCUUCUGGGAUUGGAGGGACUGUGUGAGUGAGGAGUGAAACCAAAUGUUCAUGUGAGACCAUUUGUUUUCUGAUGAACACUUUUGGCUCCUACUUCAAAUUUCCUGUAGUCUAGGGUAAUGUUUUCCAUUGACAGUAAUUAUAUCAGUUGUCUGAAACUGUGUAUGUGGUAGCUUAAUAAGCUGACAUCUGUUUUUCAGCUAUUCAGUGGAAGUUAAGUUUCCUCUGUCUUUUCUUACAGGUGCACACAUAGGAGUUGGCAUCAGUGGCUAGGAAGAAAUGGAAGCUGGUUUGCCCAGGGACUGUUUGCCCAGUUCAGAUCCCUCCAGAGGCUGUCACAGGUUGAUAGCAGUCUUUCUUGUUUGAGGAUGUGUGUUCACUAUAAGGAACUGGUUGUAGGAAUUCAAAAGAAAUGUAAAGGUGAGAAACAAGUUCCAGACCCUCCCACUGGUUUUCAGUCCUUGUUAAAAGAAGGAUUGAAAGUGCAAGUGCAACAUAAAGCUGACAAAGAAGUGAAGUUAUCUGAGCAAUGCAAACAAGCUCAAGCAGUAAUUAAUGUUGUGAAAAAUAUAUUUGGUUCAGAUACUGUUUUAAAGGACAGCUUAAAUCUCUUGGAGCAGAACCUCUAGAAGGAGGUAACUGCUGGAAGAGGAAAGGGUGUUGGAGGCCAGGCAAAGGACAUGUCAUGAGAAUGUAUUGAAGCAAACCUGGUAUUUGCCAAACAGUGUAAAGUGGUGGUAUUGAUAUUAGUACAGCUCUUAUUCCAGGGUGUGGUGAACACUGGUUACAAGGACUUGCCAAACAGAAUGGCUACUCAAGCCAGUAGCCUUUAUUCCAGUAACAUCUUGAAAUUAUUAAAGCUGUUUCUCCCAAGAAAGAAAGAAUAUUUUCACUUUGAACAACAGGAUGAUUUAGAUUAUGGGGCUAUUGAUCAUGUCAUUAAAGGAAUUUUGGUAAUGAAGUAAAUAUACAUAUUUCUGUGAGUGACAAGAUGACUAAAGAAGAAAAAUGUUUAAGAGAAUUAAUGGGAAUAGUGAGAAGACAUGAUGAGAACUUUGAUGUCAUCUCAGGUA
Molecule: RNA transcript, 3118 nt
Organism: Pezoporus occidentalis (night parrot)
Lineage: Eukaryota; Metazoa; Chordata; Aves; Psittaciformes; Psittacidae
Gene name: NAD(P) transhydrogenase, mitochondrial-like
Exons: 5
Source: RefSeq, a predicted model, not a curated record